RNAcentral lists this ribosomal RNA (253 nucleotides) under uncultured bacterium. RNAcentral's name for it is "partial 16S ribosomal RNA". It matches the Rfam family "Bacterial small subunit ribosomal RNA", at positions 524 to 776 of the family's 1533-position model. The record is from RNAcentral.
GACGAACCGUGCGAACGUUGUUCGGAUUCAUUGGGCGUAAAGGGUGCGUAGGUGGCGUCGUAAGUCGGGUGUGAAAUUUCGGAGCUUAACUCCGAAACUGCAUUCGAUACUGCGGUGCUUGAGGACUGGAGAGGAGACUGGAAUUUACGGUGUAGCAGUGAAAUGCGUAGAGAUCGUAAGGAAGACCAGUGGCGAAGGCGGGUCUCUGGACAGUUCCUGACACUGAGGCACGAAGGCCAGGGGAGCAAACGGG